GAAACAUCUUCGGGUUGUGAGGUUAAGCGACUAAGCGUACACGGUGGAUGCCCUGGCAGUCAGAGGCGAUGAAGGACGUGCUAAUCUGCGAUAAGCGUCGGUAAGGUGAUAUGAACCGUUAUAACCGGCGAUUUCCGAAUGGGGAAACCCAGUGUGUUUCGACACACUAUCAUUAACUGAAUCCAUAGGUUAAUGAGGCGAACCGGGGGAACUGAAACAUCUAAGUACCCCGAGGAAAAGAAAUCAACCGAGAUUCCCCCAGUAGCGGCGAGCGAACGGGGAGCAGCCCAGAGCCUGAAUCAGUGUGUGUGUUAGUGGAAGCGUCUGGAAAGGCGCGCGAUACAGGGUGACAGCCCCGUACACAAAAAUGCACAUACUGUGAGCUCGAUGAGUAGGGCGGGACACGUGGUAUCCUGUCUGAAUAUGGGGGGACCAUCCUCCAAGGCUAAAUACUCCUGACUGACCGAUAGUGAACCAGUACCGUGAGGGAAAGGCGAAAAGAACCCCGGCGAGGGGAGUGAAAAAGAACCUGAAACCGUGUACGUACAAGCAGUGGGAGCACGCUUAGGCGUGUGACUGCGUACCUUUUGUAUAAUGGGUCAGCGACUUAUAUUCUGUAGCAAGGUUAACCGAAUAGGGGAGCCGAAGGGAAACCGAGUCUUAACUGGGCGUUAAGUUGCAGGGUAUAGACCCGAAACCCGGUGAUCUAGCCAUGGGCAGGUUGAAGGUUGGGUAACACUAACUGGAGGACCGAACCGACUAAUGUUGAAAAAUUAGCGGAUGACUUGUGGCUGGGGGUGAAAGGCCAAUCAAACCGGGAGAUAGCUGGUUCUCCCCGAAAGCUAUUUAGGUAGCGCCUCGUGAAUUCAUCUCCGGGGGUAGAGCACUGUUUCGGCAAGGGGGUCAUCCCGACUUACCAACCCGAUGCAAACUGCGAAUACCGGAGAAUGUUAUCACGGGAGACACACGGCGGGUGCUAACGUCCGUCGUGAAGAGGGAAACAACCCAGACCGCCAGCUAAGGUCCCAAAGUCAUGGUUAAGUGGGAAACGAUGUGGGAAGGCCCAGACAGCCAGGAUGUUGGCUUAGAAGCAGCCAUCAUUUAAAGAAAGCGUAAUAGCUCACUGGUCGAGUCGGCCUGCGCGGAAGAUGUAACGGGGCUAAACCAUGCACCGAAGCUGCGGCAGCGACGCUGAUGCGUUGUUGGGUAGGGGAGCGUUCUGUAAGCCUGUGAAGGUGUGCUGUGAGGCAUGCUGGAGGUAUCAGAAGUGCGAAUACUGACAUAAGUAACGAUAAAGCGGGUGAAAAGCCCGCUCGCCGGAAGACCAAGGGUUCCUGUCCAACGUUAAUCGGGGCAGGGUGAGUCGACCCCUAAGGCGAGGCCGAAAGGCGUAGUCGAUGGGAAACAGGUUAAUAUUCCUGUACUUGGUGUUACUGCGAAGGGGGGACGGAGAAGGCUAUGUUGGCCGGGCGACGGUUGUCCCGGUUUAAGCGUGUAGGCUGGUUUUCCAGGCAAAUCCGGAAAACUAAGGCUGAGGCGUGAUGACGAGGCACUACGGUGCUGAAGCAACAAAUGCCCUGCUUCCAGGAAAAGCCUCUAAGCAUCAGGUAACAUCAAAUCGUACCCCAAACCGACACAGGUGGUCAGGUAGAGAAUACCAAGGCGCUUGAGAGAACUCGGGUGAAGGAACUAGGCAAAAUGGUGCCGUAACUUCGGGAGAAGGCACGCUGAUAUGUAGGUGAAGUCCCUCGCGGAUGGAGCUGAAAUCAGUCGAAGAUACCAGCUGGCUGCAACUGUUUAUUAAAAACACAGCACUGUGCAAACACGAAAGUGGACGUAUACGGUGUGACGCCUGCCCGGUGCCGGAAGGUUAAUUGAUGGGGUCAGCGCAAGCGAAGCUCUUGAUCGAAGCCCCGGUAAACGGCGGCCGUAACUAUAACGGUCCUAAGGUAGCGAAAUUCCUUGUCGGGUAAGUUCCGACCUGCACGAAUGGCGUAAUGAUGGCCAGGCUGUCUCCACCCGAGACUCAGUGAAAUUGAACUCGCUGUGAAGAUGCAGUGUACCCGCGGCAAGACGGAAAGACCCCGUGAACCUUUACUAUAGCUUGACACUGAACAUUGAGCCUUGAUGUGUAGGAUAGGUGGGAGGCUUUGAAGUGUGGACGCCAGUCUGCAUGGAGCCGACCUUGAAAUACCACCCUUUAAUGUUUGAUGUUCUAACGUUGACCCGUGAUCCGGGUUGCGGACAGUGUCUGGUGGGUAGUUUGACUGGGGCGGUCUCCUCCUAAAGAGUAACGGAGGAGCACGAAGGUUGGCUAAUCCUGGUCGGACAUCAGGAGGUUAGUGCAAUGGCAUAAGCCAGCUUGACUGCGAGCGUGACGGCGCGAGCAGGUGCGAAAGCAGGUCAUAGUGAUCCGGUGGUUCUGAAUGGAAGGGCCAUCGCUCAACGGAUAAAAGGUACUCCGGGGAUAACAGGCUGAUACCGCCCAAGAGUUCAUAUCGACGGCGGUGUUUGGCACCUCGAUGUCGGCUCAUCACAUCCUGGGGCUGAAGUAGGUCCCAAGGGUAUGGCUGUUCGCCAUUUAAAGUGGUACGCGAGCUGGGUUUAGAACGUCGUGAGACAGUUCGGUCCCUAUCUGCCGUGGGCGCUGGAGAACUGAGGGGGGCUGCUCCUAGUACGAGAGGACCGGAGUGGACGCAUCACUGGUGUUCGGGUUGUCAUGCCAAUGGCACUGCCCGGUAGCUAAAUGCGGAAGAGAUAAGUGCUGAAAGCAUCUAAGCACGAAACUUGCCCCGAGAUGAGUUCUCCCUGACUCCUUGAGAGUCCUGAAGGAACGUUGAAGACGACGACGUUGAUAGGCCGGGUGUGUAAGCGCAGCGAUGCGUUGAGCUAACCGGUACUAAUGAACCGUGAGGCUUAACCUU
Molecule: ribosomal RNA, 2924 nt
Filed under: Escherichia coli 5.0959
Lineage: Bacteria; Pseudomonadati; Pseudomonadota; Gammaproteobacteria; Enterobacterales; Enterobacteriaceae
Description: bacterial LSU rRNA
Rfam family: Bacterial large subunit ribosomal RNA
Source: RNAcentral